Molecule: long non-coding RNA, 883 nt
Organism: Trachemys scripta elegans
Lineage: Eukaryota; Metazoa; Chordata; Testudines; Emydidae
Exons: 3
Source: RefSeq, a predicted model, not a curated record
AUGGUCUCUUGCCAGCCUUCCUAUCGUUCCUACACAGAAUGGGCACCUUCUGUUCCUUGUACCCUCCCCUAGUGUUGAGUGCAAGGGAUAGCGAACUUCCCCCACUCCCGUCUCAUAGACUGUUUGUGGGAGGAGUAUUAAGAACUGGUCGAUGCUGGCAGGCAGUUCUGCAUAGGUUGCAGAGUGACUCUAGCAUCCAACUGCCUUUCUUGAAGCUCAAUCAGAUGCCUCAACAUGUCCGAUUGAUCCUUUAUAAUCCGCAGCAUCUCAUUCUGCAUGGCACGUUCCUGUUCCCAGCAUGCUCGCCUGUUAAUGUCCAGUUUCUCAGAGAGUGUAAUCCUCUAUGCUCUGAACUCUGUCUCAGCUGUCCCGGAGGCAUGCAUUAAUUUGAUGAACAUGUCCUCCCGAGUCUUCUUUUUCUGCCCUCUAAUCUGGGAAAGUCUCUGUCCCGGUGUGGAGGAUGCACUGCAGGACAAGGUUUCCACUGCAAGUUUCCAAACCUGAUGUGAUCUCCCAGCUGGAUACAAGGGGAAGAGCCAUGGGUCCCAGACCUCCAGGGUUCAGGGGAAAGAGAGAUCCUGAGACGUCCCUGCACAGGUGAGGCGACGGUGAGUGAGAAUGAGAAGCAGAAGUCUCAGCAGAAAGAUGCUGUGCAAGUUGCACCACACGGAAUAUUAUCAAAAAUAACGAAAGGGAACAUGUCCAGGAAUCAUGAGCAGGGAAAAUCCGUGAGAUUCAGCACACGCCAGAGAGAGAGCAGGGAGACCAGCCAGGAGAGAAAUUUAAUAAAAUUAUUUCCUGUCAGGGAACUCACAGGGACCUCAAAGAAACCACAACCCAACAGAGAAUCCUGAUGGGAAGGAGUUAAAAAAAAUACACCGUG